AACCAGAUAGGGGAGAGCGUCCGCACACCGUGAGAGCUCAAUAAAAACAACCGAUCGGAAUGGGCGAUGGAGGAGGCUUGAAGCCAAAGGUGUAUUCAGGAUUAAGCCAGAGGAAAUGAAACAAGCAGCACAGACUCCCGGAGCAGAAACACAACCCCCUCCCCGGCGAUAAAGGUGGGAACCCCAAAGAGGCAUCUGAAUGAUUUCUCUUACCGCUGCUUCUCCGUAGCAAGAAACCUCUUCGAGAAGGUGUCGGCCCAAAAGAGAGAUUCAGAGAAGGCCGGUCUUCUGCCGGAACACAGUCACGAGAGGGUGGUGCCGAAAACACCUCGUUUUUCUGCAACGUGUGAAGAGUUCACGUAAUAGAUUCUGCACCCAAAAACGCUAGACCGGGUGGGCUAACGUAUCUGCGGAUUCUCUUUUACUCUCCCAAGUGCUCUGCACGUAGUCAGCGCCCAAUAAAUACCACUGAUUGACUAAUCCCGCCCCUGGGCCUCUCGGGGUGGACUGGACUCAUGCAGAGGGAACGGGUUACCAACUUCUCUGGGCUUCAGUUCCCUCAUCUGUAAAACGGGGAUUAAAACCGUGAGCCCCA
Ornithorhynchus anatinus (platypus) is the source of this 595-nucleotide long non-coding RNA. RefSeq lists it as uncharacterized. Lineage: Eukaryota; Metazoa; Chordata; Mammalia; Monotremata; Ornithorhynchidae. The record is from RefSeq and is a predicted model, not a curated record. The transcript is spliced from 2 exons.